UUGGAGGGCAAGUCUGGUGCCAGCAGCCGCGGUAAUUCCAGCUCCAAUAGCGUAUAUUAAAGUUGUUGCAGUUAAAAAGCUCGUAGUUGAAUUUCGGGAUCAAUAUUUCGGUCAUGCCGUUGGUAUGCACUGUUAUCAUUGAUUUCUCACCUUCUAAAGAACCGUAAUGCCAUUAAUUUGGUGUUAUGGGGAAUUAGGACUGUUACCUUGAAGAAAUUAGAGUGUUUAAAGCAGGCUCACGCUUGAAUACAUUAGCAUGGAAUAAUGAAAUAGGACAUCCGAUUCUAUUUUGUUGGUUUCUAGGAUCGAUGUAAUGAUUAAUAGGGAUAGUUGGGGGCAUUAGUAUUCAAUUGUCAGAGGUGAAAUUCUUGGAUUUAUUGAAGACUAACUACUGCGAAAGCAUUUGUCAAGGAUGUUUUCAUUAAUCAAGAACGAAAGUUAGGGGAUCGAAGACGAUCAGAUACCGUCGUAGUCUUAACCAUAAACUAUGCCGACUAGGGAUCGGAUGAUGUUAAUUUUUUAAUGACUCAUUCGGCGCCUUACGGGAAAC
Molecule: ribosomal RNA, 550 nt
Filed under: Funneliformis mosseae
Lineage: Eukaryota; Fungi; Glomeromycota; Glomeromycetes; Glomerales; Glomeraceae
Description: SSU rRNA
Rfam family: Eukaryotic small subunit ribosomal RNA
Source: RNAcentral